GGGUGGCGGAGGGCGCGUCUGCCAGGAGCCACGACCAGAUGAGGCGGGCGGGUUACAAAACUUCACAGGGGUUCCUGGGGACAGGUAGCACGUAUUGGUCCCGCUGAUCCAUUGUUCGCCUUCCUGGAAAUCUUACCUCGGGCCACAAUUGGAUAGAAGAAAAAGCAAUGCGUUCAGGAACUUUACUUCCCAAAGAUUGGAAAUAACCCAAGUGUUCAACAGGAGGAGAGGCGAGAGUAUGUGAAUUACAACUAUCUCUGUUUACUAGACACUGGGAAUGCACUUUUCAUUCAGUAUCUCAUUUUGUCCUCGAAACAGACCUAGCAGUUCUGGAGGUCAGAAGUCUGAAAUGAGUCUACUAGGUGAAGAUCAAGGUGUUGGCAUGGCUGCAUGUCUUCGGGAGGCUCUGUGGAAGAAUCUGUUUACUUGCCUUUUCCAGCUUCUCGAAGUCAUUAAUGAAUGAGAUCCUUGGAUCUGCAUUUACUACUCCAUCUGAUCCCACGACUGCAUCUGAAUGGUGUAUAUGUCUCUGGACCGUCAAGCACAUACCAGGAGAUAAAGAAUUACAGGUGGUAUUUUCUUUUUUGGCUGUGCCGUGCAGCAUACUGGAUCUUAGUUCCCUGACCAUGGACUGAACCUGUGCCCCAUGCAGUGGAAGCGCGGAGACUUAACCACUGGACCGCCAGGGAAGUUCCCCUACAGGUCGUAUUUUAUAUCAAAUGAUAUUGAGCAGUUUAAACCUACGCGGACCUGAGAUAAGGAUAAUACAGCAUUAUAGCUUAUAGUAAUUAGUGCCAUACCUGACCCAGAAGGGG
Molecule: long non-coding RNA, 815 nt
Organism: Aethalodelphis obliquidens (Pacific white-sided dolphin)
Lineage: Eukaryota; Metazoa; Chordata; Mammalia; Artiodactyla; Delphinidae
Exons: 4
Source: RefSeq, a predicted model, not a curated record